CACGUAGGGGGCAAGCGUUGUCCGGAUUUAUUGGGCGUAAAGAGCUCGUAGGUGGUUCGGUAAGUCGGGUGUUAAACCCCCAGGCUCAACCUGGGGACGCCACUCGAUACUGCUGUGACUAGAGUCCGGUAGGGGAGCGUGGAAUUCCUGGUGUAGCGGUGAAAUGCGCAGAUAUCAGGAGGAACACCAGCGGCGAAGGCGGCGCUCUGGGCCGGUACUGACACUGAGGAGCGAACGGG
This 239-nucleotide ribosomal RNA is filed under the name uncultured bacterium. RNAcentral describes it as "partial 16S ribosomal RNA". It matches the Rfam family "Bacterial small subunit ribosomal RNA", at positions 524 to 761 of the family's 1533-position model. The record is from RNAcentral.